Long non-coding RNA from Frieseomelitta varia, 1152 nucleotides. RefSeq lists it as uncharacterized. The record is from RefSeq and is a predicted model, not a curated record. The transcript has 5 exons. NCBI's taxonomy places the organism in Eukaryota, Metazoa, Arthropoda, Insecta, Hymenoptera, Apidae.
UAUCUGCGUUCGUAAAAGAAUUUGAAAGAUUACCUUAAUUAAAUGUAUUCACGUAGAAUAGUAAUUGUAACCAACCUUUUUGUUGUAAAUCCACCAAUACGAGGUGUUUCAUUCCGUUGGCGCGCCUACUAGCGGCGCUGGUCGAAAUCGACGAUCGUUGAGAAAGGUUAUGGCGCCGGUACCGAAAGUAACGGCUUCUAAUUCGGCCGUGAGCGAACACCGGCCGAAAAUACAAUAUCGAGAAACGGAUAAACGAAUUUAGAAUUCAUUACUCUCUUUUCAUCGCUUUCGUAUGGUGUUGAUGCCGAAACCUUAUCGUUUGAAAUUUUUAAUAAAACUCAAGAUAUAUUUAGUCACGCGUACUAUCAAUGAGAAUGUAUAUGAUGAUUAAGAACAAUUAUCUCAUCGCGAGUAGUACGUUUCAUGUCACGGGUGCAACGAUCUCGGUCUGCUAAACCGAGGCAAGAUCAAUGAACACGACCGGCCAACCGAUAGCUGCGAACGAGAUUACAAGUUUGAAUUUCGAUAACCAUCUAUAUAUAUGACAAUUAAACGGCUAAAAAUGAUACUUUAAAGGAUUGAAUUUACAGCGUUAAGAAAGGACUUAUAUAUGAAAUCCACGAAUAAGGUCACUUGCUAUGUAAUUGAACUUACAAAUGAAGCGAUAGAAAGGAAAAGAAGACCAGCAGCCGGUGUAUAACAUCGUUUUUUCGGUUCCUUGUUAAUUACCACAUCGAACACGUAAACUGAGCAAAAACACGUACUUAUCCUGAUUUACUUGAUUAGAAUACACGAGUCAACCGAUUGGAUUUGUUCCAAAGCGAAGUUGUUCCUUUCAACGCUACAAUCAUCCAGCCUAAUCGGUGUUUUCUAGCAUCGAAAAUGAAAUGCACGUUUAAUUUGACUAACCACAACUAAAGAAAACGAACGAAUAACAACUCUAUAUUUAGAUGAUCUGCACUCCAAUCUUUUUUCGUGGUUAUUUUUGGUUUAACUAGUUCAUCUGAAUUUUGAGAAAGGAACGGUACCUAUAGAAACCGCAAGAUGGAAAAGAUAAGACGCUGCCGACUCGUGGCAAAAUCUACCAUGCGUUGAUUAGAUACGAAGUUAGAAAGAUUCGUGAACCUAACAAACAAAAUGGCCAAAUAGAAU